RNAcentral lists this long non-coding RNA (698 nucleotides) under Mus spretus (western wild mouse). RNAcentral describes it as "lncRNA (ENSMSPG00010031276.1)". Lineage: Eukaryota; Metazoa; Chordata; Mammalia; Rodentia; Muridae. The record is from RNAcentral.
AGGAGAUUCUCUGGGAAGAUGUGACAAGAUGGGUACACAGCCCCCAAACAGGAAUUCUUCACCCAGUUCAGCAGGAAGCAAUUAUCAGAAGACCGUCAUCCUAAGCCCUUAAGUUGAGUGUGUGACGGACCAGUGAGUCUGCUUGUGAGUAGAGGAGAUAUUUACCACGCAAGCCCAGCGCCGCGUCAGCCUUUCCAUUCUCGCGUUGUAUGCGGAACGCCUCAUGGGUGCGCGCCAGGGAAGCAUGGGAGUACAGCAAGGUGUAAGCAAGCUCAAGAGAAGCUUGGUCAGCUCUGCGAGUGAGCAAGCAGGAGGCCCGACAGCCUCCAGGAACCCCCGCUUUCUUCUAAUGGGGCUUACUUUGCUCUCACCAAGGACAGAAUGUAUUCUGGGAAACUCAGCCAAGGAAUCUCGUGUUCGUUUUAUUCACGUGCCUUCCCCGUAAAGGCGGGCCACUCACAGUGAGAGUAACACAGACAGCGAAGACACUGGCUCCUCUCAGUCUUUCCCUACUCCUCAUUAGGCAUAGUCAGAAAGUACCCGUGGAGUAUGUCUCAUUGAAACGUGAAACACAUGCAGUACUGUGCAGUGUUUUCCGAGGUCUGUUUAAAAGCAAAAUGCAUGCACAUGUGUGGGACACAAACCACAAACCAUGAUUUGAUUCGGGUAAUUCUGAAAUCUGAAUAGAAUUUGAACCG